UACGGAGGGAGCUAGCGUUAUUCGGAAUUACUGGGCGUAAAGCGCACGUAGGCGGCUUUGUAAGUUAGAGGUGAAAGCCUGGAGCUCAACUCCAGAAUUGCCUUUAAGACUGCAUCGCUUGAAUCCAGGAGAGGUGAGUGGAAUUCCGAGUGUAGAGGUGAAAUUCGUAGAUAUUCGGAAGAACACCAGUGGCGAAGGCGGCUCACUGGACUGGUAUUGACACUGAGGUGCGAAAGCAUGGGGAGCAAACAGG
This 253-nucleotide ribosomal RNA is filed under the name uncultured bacterium. Its description in RNAcentral is "partial 16S ribosomal RNA". It matches the Rfam family "Bacterial small subunit ribosomal RNA", at positions 524 to 776 of the family's 1533-position model. The record is from RNAcentral.